RNAcentral lists this ribosomal RNA (502 nucleotides) under uncultured bacterium. RNAcentral describes it as "partial 16S ribosomal RNA". It matches the Rfam family "Bacterial small subunit ribosomal RNA", at positions 28 to 523 of the family's 1533-position model. The record is from RNAcentral.
GAUGAAUGCUGGCGGCAGGCUUAACACAUGCAAGUCGAGCGGGGUGAUGGUGCUUGCACUAUCACUUAGCGGCGGACGGGUGAGUAAUGCUUAGGAAUCUGCCUAUUAGUGGGGGACAACAUCUCGAAAGGGAUGCUAAUACCGCAUACGUCCUACGGGAGAAAGCAGGGGAUCACUUGUGACCUUGCGCUAAUAGAUGAGCCUAAGUCGGAUUAGCUAGUUGGUGGGGUAAAGGCCUACCAAGGCGACGAUCUGUAGCGGGUCUGAGAGGAUGAUCCGCCACACUGGGACUGAGACACGGCGCAGAGUCCUACGGGAGGCAGCAGUGGGGAAUAUUGUACAAUGGGGGGAACCCUGAUUCAGCCAUGCCGCGUGUGUGAAGAAGGCCUUAUGGUUGUAAAGCACUUUAAGCGAGGAGGAAGGGUGGUGUGUUAAUAGCACAUCAUUUUGACGUUACUCGCAGAAGAAGCACCGGCUAACUCUGUGCUAGCAGCCGCGGUAA